Molecule: long non-coding RNA, 8509 nt
Organism: Melospiza melodia melodia
Lineage: Eukaryota; Metazoa; Chordata; Aves; Passeriformes; Passerellidae
Exons: 3
Source: RefSeq, a predicted model, not a curated record
GGCACCGGCACCGGCACCGGCACCGGCACCGGCACCGGCUGGGGCCCGCGGGUCACGGGCGGGGAGCGUGAGCGGGACCUUGUGUGGUUGGUUAAACGGGGGCUUAUGAUCCGCCCUCCCUAUGGAGGCGGCUGAAUACAAGCUUUGGAACAGAAUUAAACAAUUUGUACAGCUCUGCUUACCGAUGCCCCAAUAGCUAGCAGGAAGCGGGCUUUGGUUUCUUAUUUUGAUGAGAAAUGUAAGAUCUCCUUGUCUUCUGCUGGGGAAAUGUUACAUGCUUGUGAUAAGAGCGGCAUGCUGUAUAGUUUAUGCAUGGAAAAGAAAGUCUGAAUACUCUUUGUUAUUUUUUCUGUUCAUAACUUGUGUUUCAGUGUUUUAGGUGGCUGAGAUCAGUCUAUCAAGUUGGCAGAUUUCUCUUCAAUGGUACUGCGUUGGAGCAGAGGGAACAGAACACGCACUUAAAAGGGAUCUGGAUAUCUAGUGAUCCAAAUCAUCUGGGAAAAAGAGGUGCAUAGUUUUGGAAUGAGCUCCCACUGCUAAUGGGAAAGGUUAAAAUAUUGCAAGUGGUUCUUUUAUUAUCUUCCAGGUUUGUAGCUACAUACCCUGAUACUCCUUGAACAGCUUCAAAGCUGGAAGAGUUGUGUCUUUCUCCCAUACAUGAAUUCUGACAGAGACAAGUUUUGAACAAUACUGCAUUCAUUCACGUCAGGAUAGAAUGACAUGGAAUCUCUCUCCAAAUUCAUUUUUACAACUGUGUUUAAAAAUAUUGCAUUUUUUAAAGAAAGUUAAUAUAUAGCAGUGUGAGUAAGAAGCUGAAUUUUAGUACCUGGAGUCUAUCGUAGAGUGAGAUUACCGAAAAUCUCUAUUGAACAGCAAGGGCCCAUACGCACUAAUAAAUAAUCAGUGUUACACAUAGGGAUAUAUUUGACUUGUGUCUGUUAUUUUUAAAGAAGAUUCUUGAUGUGUGUUCAAUGAGGUUGUUCUUCCCAAAGCAAACCUUCCUGGAAGAAUGGGAAAUUGCACUAGGUAGUGUAUGAGUAGCUCAUUUUUUGUUCGCUGUAUGAUGUUUUUAUUCAAACUCAGCUAAUUUUAUUUAAAGUACCUUCUGUUCAUUUUCUUGAAAGCUGUAUCCCCAGACUCAUUAAGAAGAGUUUAAUGAGGUAGAAAUCCAGUUAAAAUGAGAGGGUUUUCCUAGUGUAUUUGCGAUAUAAAUUGAUUGUUAAGGAAAAUGGAUUUUGCUUCAGUCUGAGCGAAUUAUAAUGAGCAGAUUAUAGAGGGCUAUUAGUAUAUAAGGAUAUUGAUUGUUAUUUGGUGCUGUGCCAUUAUAUACACCAGGGUAUGAUGGAGAACAUUUAUUCAUGUGCAAGUUUCAAUACAAAUGCCUGUGAAACAUUGCAGAGAAAAAAAGAGUAUGACAUCAUUGUUUAUGUAUGGAUUCUUGGUGGAAUUAUGUUGUAUUUUCCUUGGGAAGCCAAGUAAUUCUGUUGCACCUUGAAUUUCUUGAAUCUUACUGGCUUAUUGUUAGAUUAAGAGCCUCUCUUUUUAGGCCAAGGAAUGCUAGUAAAUUUGUUGGAUAAAUUUUAGGCAUGGAUUUGGAUUUGACUGUGGGUUUUAUAUUUAAAAAAACACAUCCUGACAUCUAAAGCAUAUAUCCAUGCAUAAAAUAUAUUGGUAUUUUUAUCAGGUACUAUAUAAAGACAUUUUUUUCUGCGUGUUUUGGAUUUGACAGUUGUCCCAGAAUAUUUCCUGUAUCCUCUCUGCUUGUUGUCACUAGAUCUGAAAGUAGAUAUUUUGAGAAUGGCACCCAGAAGACAUUUCUAGUUAUUUUCAGAUCAUUUCUCUUUCAGAGGGCAGAUGGCAGUCUCACAAAUUGCAGCGGAGGUGUGUUUUUUCCCUGCUCUUUGUGGGAGUGGUUAAGUUCAGGAAGUGUUUGGAUAACACUCUCAGGCACAUGGUGUGAUUCUUGUGUCCUGUGCAGGGCCAGGAGUUAGACUUGAAGAUCCUGAUGGGUCCCUUCCCACUCAGCAUAUAUUGUGAUUCUAUGCAUAUUUAGAACAAAUCCUCUUGUCAAGAAGUUGGUGGAUGCUGGAAGGAAACUCCAGCUUUGUGGGGACUCAGCUUUGCUCCUUGUCUUUCAGUACCAAAAUGAUCUCAAGUGGUUGAAUUCUUCCCUGUGGAUGGUUGUGGGGUUUUUUUUGGGUUUUUGUUGUUACUAUUAAGUUUGGUGUUGCAUACCAUUUGGCAGUAGCAGGAGUUGACUGCCCCUUUGAGGGGACAAGAUGUAUCUGGGAUGUUUUCCCUUUGUGGUGUCUGAAACAUGAUCAGUGGUGUUUCAUGGAGAUACCACAUCGACAGACUUGCCCCUAUCUGUCUUGAAGAGAAACUAUAUAAAGCUGCAGCAAUGCUUAUAUAGCAAAGAUAAAAAGUAGGUUGCUGCCAAGGGUUAUAUCUUGGUAGAACUACCUCCUUUGGGACAGAUGGAACUGAAUGGCUCCAGAGUGUCAAGGGAAGAAUUAAAUAACAUUUCAUUUUUUCCAUUGCCAAUUUUUGUACUCUUCCCUUGCACAACAUACCAAAAAAUUUCAAUCACUUAGAAUCAUUUAGUAAAGGAUCCUGGAUAGGAGCCACUAUUGGUGUGAAGGGUGAGACAGAAUGUGCCAGCUGUUAAAGAUUGCUGUUAAAAGACUCAUCAUCAGAGAAUAGCCUGAAAAGUAGAAUUUGCAACAAUAAAUUGCAAAUUUCCAUCACAAGGUAAAGAUAUUUCCACAAAAUAAUGUGUAAAAUGGGAUUCAUGUUGAAAUAAAGUACAAUUUUAAUUUGGCUAUGUGGAAACAAUAGGUCAAUCAUCAAAGAAACAAAAGAAGAUAUUCUGUAUCUUUAGUCCAAGGUGUUUAAACUGCCACAGAACAGAAUGUUAGUGUGAUUUGUUUCUGAAGUGAUGUUUAUGGUCAUACGUGUUGAAAUGAGUCAAGUCCUUCAUUUUCUGUUGGAGGGUGACCUCCUUUUCUUCUCUUUUUCUCCCAAUUUACUUAUUUUAUUUCUCUUUUUGAGCUACUUGCCUUAUCAAAAAUAGCACAAAUAGGUUCUCUGGCUCCUAUAUUUGGUGAUUAUUUUUUGUAGCCUAUUUCUCAGUCUAGUUCAAGACCAAAUUAAGCCUACUGCAGCUUGGAAAUGUUAGCUGAAAUGCUGAUUAGCUGGAAGAGACAAGGUGCUGCUCAACAGCAGUGUGGGUGCACAGAGGAUUAGCUGGUGGUGUCAGAAUAAUUUUACUUUUAAGACAUGUUAUGAUGACUGUAUUUAAUACUGACUUAUUCCUGGUACUGUCCAGAGGUCAGGAGCAUGUCUGCCUCCCAACCAUCAUCCUCCUUCCUCCAGAGGUAUUUAAAUAAGAAAAGCAAAGAGGGCAUGAAGAAUUUCCCUAGUACAAGUCAGACAGCAGAAAUGAGCAGUCCUGUCAAAGACCCCAAGUAUAGCACAAUGCCUAUGCAGAGCUACCAGAAACAGCUCUCCCAGAGAAGAGAUAGAGUGAAGACUAUCACCCACUUUGCCUUCCAAACUGCCCCCCAGAUCUGUUCAGCAUUUGAAAGAACCAUUGCAGACUUCUGGGGGAAGUUGAUAAAGGAAGAUGGUACUGUAGUUUUUAUCUUUGCACUUUGUACAGUAUCUCUGAGGAAGGUCAUGGCUUCUUCAGCUCCAGUUCUGCAGCAUCAGAAUUGGUCCACCUCUUUAGCUCUUCCAGCAGAGCCAAUUUAAUGUCCCCACAAAUGUCAGAAUUGUUUGCAGUGAAGGCUGGUGUUCCUGUUGUGGAAGUACAGUUCUGUGAUUUGAACAGUUGAUUUUCUCUGCUAGUUGUGUUUAAAGAAAGCAACAAAAAUUUAAUACACAAUUAAAAAUAGAUUAGUGUUUUGUUUAGUCCUCCAUACAAUUACAAAACAGACACUGAAAUGUGUUAUAGCAAUCAAAAGUUAAUUAAACUUCUGAAAAAAAUAACAGAUUCAAUGUGAAAGCUGUGUCAGAUACAAUUACUGGUUUUUAUUGUGACAAGCAGAAAUUUGCAUCUAUUAGGGGAAAAACGUAGCCAGAUAAAAGACACACAAUCUGCUUGCUUACUGUGAUUUUCUAAAGCUAGUAAGAACAGUGUUAGUCAGUUUCUUUCUCAUUGGGCCUGUGACAUUUAGCUACUCUGUUUUUUCCUGCUUGGGUGUCUCCUGAACCAAAUCUUUGUCUGUAUGAUUGACUGGCAUUAAUGUUAAAAGGAUUUCUGUAUGGUGCUCCAGUGGAAUCAACAGAGCAGUGGGGGUGCCCUACCUGCAGUACAUGCCAUGGGGUCCCACUGUGACAUGGUGGUGUUACAGUUUGCUUAGAAGCAAUAUGUUUAUUCUUUAUUUUCAUGGCAUUGAGCUGAUCCCAUAUGCCCAUAUGCUCUUUCUUGUGCAGAGCCAAUCUUGAGUUUCAACACCAUACUCUUAAUUCUGGAAUUCAGAGGGAGGCUGAACAAAGUCAUGAAGCUGACUCCAUGAGGAGUCUCUCAAAGGUCAGCAGUUUUCUGCCUUACCAUUAGCAAUGGUAUUGCCAGAGCCAGGUGGAUCCCUGCAGGUGUAUCCAAAUGUACUUGCUUCCCUGGUCUCCUGAGUUUGGGGUCUGGGUUUUACACAGCAGGAGCACAUGAAGACAACUUGGGUGUAGGACAGUACUGACUCAAUGGUGAGGGGAGCAGCACCCAGCGCUGAGCUAGAAAAGGGUAACCCUAUGGUCAGAGGUCCUGGAGCAAAGAGAGUGGGAGUCAUAGAGCUCAGUGACAGUCAACAGCUGUAUAAGCUGUUUGCCACCCCUGAGCAAGCUCAGUAGGGUCACCCAGAGCACCCUUGGCCAGUCAAAGCCAGUUUCAGUUUCCUGUGCUCUGUAUGGAGCUGCUGACCACAUGAGUUCAGGGCCUGGCGCUGCUGUGGCAGCUGGGGGUCUGGUUUGCUUCAAGACCCUGAGCUAAACCAUGCCUGGCUGAUGUAGAUGGUCUUACAAGCUGGGUUCCUCCUGAUGGAGGAGGUAUUUAGAACAGGCACAGUAGAGCACAGCUCCUACUUUCUUUAUUUUCCUGCCAUCAGGGUUGGUCUGCUGCAUUAUACUCUUCUACCCCUCCCAUGUAAAGAAAUUAAAGUCUGUUCUAAACAUGUGUUGCUGAAUCACUGCUCUCUUCACCUUAUAAACACUUUUGCAAUAGCAAUUAGUACUACAGAAUGGGGUUGUGUUAUUUAAUCCCAUUUUUUUUCAUCUUCAGUGAGAAAUUUUGAUAAUAUGAGGAUGUUGCUCUAGACAAAGAUGCAUCAAUAUCUUCUAGGAUCUAAAGCUUGAGCUUCCAUGUUUUCAGCAGAUGCCAUGUGUAACAUCAGAGUAUUGACAUAAAGCCUCACGUUAUUAAAAAUGGACAUGAAAAGAGAUGUGGCUUUUUCUGUUUCUUUCACAAACACUAUGAGAGUAAUUUAUUAUUCUCUCUGUACCUGGAGGACUCCUUGCCUCCAGUUACUGUUGAGUAUGCAGGCAUAAUAAGGCUGCAUGUCAAUUUUUUUUCAUUUAUAUGGAUGACUUUCAAAGUAAAACUCGCCACAGCUUCAGGCCAAAAGCUUUCUCCUUGUGUCACAGCUCCUAUCAUUUUUUUCCCCUCAGGCAUACUGAUCCAUAGCUAGUCAGGGAAGCAUGCACACAAAUGAUAGGUCAUUAGGAAAUCCUCUGAAUGGCAAACCUCUGAAGUCAGCCCAAGUGCUAUUUGCCAUACAUCAUGAUAAAAUUUGUGAGUUUGAGGAGGCACUAAUUAUAUGCUUGGUCUGCCAUUGAUGAGUUGUUGGAGCUGUUGUUUCCAGAACAGCAACCUCUUUCACUGCAUAUUUCAGCAAGGUUGCCAGAGCAUGGUGAGCCAAGCAGGGAUUGAGAGAUUUUGGCACUUUAUCCCUUUCAAUGAAAAAAUAUUGCAUUGCAACACAAAUUGAUACCUCACUCUGCCAUAGUGAAACAUCAUAUACUGAUACAAUGAUGUUGAUCUAUGGGCUUUUCUUAAAAUUUUAUUUUGGGAACUCAUUUCCCUUAGAACAAGUGGCAACUGUAAGACUUUCAUUUACCAUCAGCCUUUGGUUUUUGAUGAUUUGUUUCAGUAAUACAAUAGUUAAAAAAAAAAAACUUUCAUUUUAUAUAUAUAUUUUAUAUAUAUUCACACACACACACCUUUCAUUAUUUUAACCCACAUACAUAAAAUGUGAUCUUGGGAGGAAAAAGCAAAUGUUUAAUACAGUGAGCAAAAUAAUAAAAGAUUGUAAAUUCUAAUGAAUAUUCAUGGAGUCAAAUAAGAUAAUAAACAUGUCAAGAAAUGAUGUGGCUUCCUGGUAUGACUUCCAGUGUAGAUUAACAUGUUUCAAAGAGUAGUGUCAAAAAUUGUUUUUUAAUUUUUAAUUUUCACACUUUCUCAAAGCACCAAUUUUUUUAAUGCAUGUUUCUGAAUUCAUUUAGGAUGAUACUACUAAUGUAUUAGUAGAUAGCUCAGAAGCAUUGCAAUGAUAGGAUUUUUCACAUAUUCUUUGAUUGUUUUUUUUUUUAAGCUGCCAAAGAGUCAUGGUUUCUUUCUUUUACAAAAGAUGCUAAAUUGCUGCCACAGAAUGGAAGUGAAACACUUUAUCUUCAAUAUUUGAAGUUAUAAAAAAAUAGAAAAAUGGUUUUUGGUAUAACAUUUUCUUACAGAGCUUUUUAUUUCACAGAUAAUUCUUGGAACUGCUGGAGGCUUACAUUUUUAUGAUUAACAGAAUAAAACAAUUACUCUGUAACUUAGGAUAUUUUAAUAUCAAUUACAGAUGUUUAAUCUUUCCUUGGAUACUCUGUUGCCCAUAGGAUAAAAAAUAAUCAUGUCUUCAUAGAAACAGUUCCAGUGAGGACCACAUCCAGAUUAAAAAAAUCCUUUAUUUUGGUGGUCACAGAUAAAUCCAGCAUAAAUAUGACAAAUUUUAGGUCCUGUUACAGAAAACACAGAUCUAAAUAAUGCACUCCGGAGCUUGGAGAAUGAUUCAGCUCAGUUUCAGGUGAACCUCUAGGCUACAACUGUACUAAGAAUCAACAGCAGGAAAUACUCUUGGCCACUGCAACUCACCUUUAUUCCCUGACAUAGUUUUGGCCAGGGCUUGCUCACUAGGAAAAAUAUUCUGUUCCUAGUUCAGCAGUUAAGAACCAGUUAAGAACCUCUGGCUCAGUGUAAAACUUUGAAGAGUUACUUACAUUCACAGCAGAGGAUGAGCCAGAGGAUUUUGUUCCAAGAAUCAGUGCUCUGGCUUCGCAGGAUAGAGUGCUCUGCAGUUCCACGCUUUAUACAGGGGGCACUGACAAUGAGAAGUGUUCUUGGGUCACACUUAUUUUCAGCUGAGAUUGGUCCUGGCACAUGAACCUCUGGAGCAGGCUGCUCUAAUUGUGUAGGGUUGUCAGAAUUGUGUAAGUGGUCCAUACACAUCCCAAGUUUAUUGGUGCCUUCUGAAAUUGCACUGCUACUGCAGGGAUUUAUGAGAAAAGUAUUGAAUGGAGCAAAACUGAACUGGUUUAGAACAUUAACCAGAUUUUAAAAAUAAUUACACAAAACCUAGUAAAAAUUGAUAUGUUUCAAUCAGCAUCAUUGAUCAAAUAAGAUUGAUUUGUUACAUAAAACUUGUUUAGGCUCAGGGUUCUGAUGUUAACAAAAAUAUUUCCUGUAAAACAAGCUUGCUACUGAGAAAAAUGAAUGAAGAGCAGAAUUAAAGUAAUUUCAGAAACUGAAACUGUGAAUGUCAUUUUGACUCAGAUCUGUAGUGUCAAAUGGCUUACUGAAGCUUUUAGAAAAGUCACCUUCUUUUUUUAUUCUGUAUUUGUACGCUGUCUAAAGCAACAGGACUCUUUCUACCCCUGAGACUUAUAAUAGCAGUUUAUCUCCAUUACUAAAAUAAAAUAUAUGAAAAAAGAAAAGAGAGAAAAUUCCAGUCUUACUUCAAUGUUGGUAAAAUAUAUAGGAAUAGUUUCAAAAUCUUUGUUUUUAUCUUCAGAUGUGGAAAUACUGUUAAUUUGUGUUAAUUCCAUUCAUGCAGGGAUCAUCUAUAUAUAUAAGGUACCUAAGAAAAAUGAUGUGGCUUUGUUACAGAAGAGCAUAUUCCUUUAAUUUUCUGCACCACUUCCUAAAGCCCCACAGGAGAAUGCUGUUUUGGCAAGAGCAUGCUCUAGCAUGGUCCGAGCUGCCAAAGAGAGGAGGUGGCAGCUGUCCUGAGACACAGUGAGGCAACAGUGGCUGAGCCAAAAGGUACCAGGGGUGUCUGACCAGCCGGGGGGAAAAACCCCGGAAUCUGAGAUUCCUGUGCCACACACACUCAUCCUAGUAUGCAAUGGCGUGCCUCUGUGGCCAAAGGUUGCAGGCCUGGUCACAGAGCUAAAAUGACCCCUUUGUUCUGAAGAAUCUUUCCUUUGCUAUUCUUUAACAUAUUUUCUAGCUCAAACAGUGUCUGAAAUAAAUAGUUUA